This 163-nucleotide ribosomal RNA is filed under the name Chrysactinia pinnata. RNAcentral's name for it is "5.8S ribosomal RNA". It matches the Rfam family "5.8S ribosomal RNA". From Rfam's summary of the family: 5.8S ribosomal RNA (5.8S rRNA) is a component of the large subunit of the eukaryotic ribosome. It is transcribed by RNA polymerase I as part of the 45S precursor that also contains 18S and 28S rRNA. Functionally, it is thought that 5.8S rRNA may be involved in ribosome translocation. Lineage: Eukaryota; Viridiplantae; Streptophyta; Magnoliopsida; Asterales; Asteraceae. The record is from RNAcentral.
AAACGACUCUCGGCAACGGAUAUCUCGGCUCACGCAUCGAUGAAGAACGUAGCAAAUGCGAUACUUGGUGUGAAUUGCAGAAUCCCGUGAACCAUCGAGUUUUUGAACGCAAGUUGCGCCCGAAUCCAUUCGGUUGAGGGCACGUCUGCCUGGGCGUCACGCA